GAUGAACGCUAGCUACAGGCUUAACACAUGCAAGUCGAGGGGCAGCAUUGGAGUAGCAAUACUUCAGAUGGCGACCGGCGCACGGGUGAGUAACACGUAUCCAACCUGCCGCUUACUCGGGGAUAGCCUUUCGAAAGAAAGAUUAAUACCCGAUGGUAUAAAGAGUUCGCAUGUUCUCUUUAUUAAAGAAUUUCGGUAAGCGAUGGGGAUGCGUUCCAUUAGAUUGUUGGCGGGGUAACGGCCCACCAAGUCUACGAUGGAUAGGGGUUCUGAGAGGAAGGUCCCCCACAUUGGAACUGAGACACGGUCCAAACUCCUACGGGAGGCAGCAGUGAGGAAUAUUGGUCAAUGGGCGAGAGCCUGAACCAGCCAAGUAGCGUGAAGGAUGACUGCCCUAUGGGUUGUAAACUUCUUUAUAAGGGAAUAAAGUGAGGGACGUGUCCCUUUUUGUAUGUACCUUAUGAAUAAGGAUCGGCUAACUCCGUGCCAGCAGCCGCGGUAAAAGUACUCU
This 511-nucleotide ribosomal RNA is filed under the name uncultured bacterium. RNAcentral describes it as "bacterial SSU rRNA". It matches the Rfam family "Bacterial small subunit ribosomal RNA", at positions 28 to 536 of the family's 1533-position model. The record is from RNAcentral.